Molecule: unclassified non-coding RNA, 218 nt
Filed under: Lophodermium sp.
Lineage: Eukaryota; Fungi; Ascomycota; Leotiomycetes; Rhytismatales; Rhytismataceae
Also listed under: 1 other name
Description: partial contains 5.8S ribosomal RNA, internal transcribed spacer 2, and large subunit ribosomal RNA
Rfam family: 5.8S ribosomal RNA (bases 1-52)
Source: RNAcentral
AACGCAGAUUGCGCCCUUUGGUAUUCCGAAGGGCAUGCCUGUUUGAGUGUCUUAUAAACCUCACCUCUAUAGUUUUCUAUAGUUGUGCUUUGGGUGUUGCCAGUACUGGCUCGCCUUAAAUGUCUAAGUGGAAUGCGUAAUAAGUUCUCGCAACCCUCCACUCUAAUUACAAUUUAUAUUCUGACCUCAAAUCAGGUAGGACUACCCGCUGAACUUAA